CAACUACGUGCCAGCAGCCGCGGUAAGACGUAGGGCGCGAGCGUUGUCCGGAUUUAUUGGGCGUAAAGAGCUCGUAGGCGGCUUGUCGCGUCGACUGUGAAAACCCGCAGCUCAACUGCGGGCCUGCAGUCGAUACGGGCAGGCUAGAGUUCGGUAGGGGAGACUGGAAUUCCUGGUGUAGCGGUGAAAUGCGCAGAUAUCAGGAGGAACACCGGUGGCGAAGGCGGGUCUCUGGGCCGAUACUGACGCUGAGGAGCGAAAGCGUGGGGAGCGAACAGGAUUAGAUACCCUGGUAGUCCACGCUGUAAACGUUGGGCGCUAGGUGUGGGGGGCCUCUCCGGUUCCCUGUGCCGCAGCUAACGCAUUAAGCGCCCCGCCUGGGGAGUACGGCCGCAAGGCUAAAACUCAAAGGAAUUGACGGGGGCCCGCACAAGCGGCGGAGCAUGCGGAUUAAUUCGAUGCAACGCGAAGAACCUUACCUGGGUUUGACAUGGCCGCAAAACCGGCAGAGAUGUCGGGUCCUUCGGGGGCGGU
This 534-nucleotide ribosomal RNA is filed under the name uncultured Micromonospora sp. RNAcentral describes it as "bacterial SSU rRNA". It matches the Rfam family "Bacterial small subunit ribosomal RNA", at positions 498 to 1031 of the family's 1533-position model. Lineage: Bacteria; Bacillati; Actinomycetota; Actinomycetes; Micromonosporales; Micromonosporaceae. The record is from RNAcentral.